This is a non-coding RNA of Pelobates cultripes (western spadefoot toad), 505 nucleotides long. The record is from the annotation of a GenBank genome assembly. NCBI's taxonomy places the organism in Eukaryota, Metazoa, Chordata, Amphibia, Anura, Pelobatidae.
UGGACUUUGAUUAGAUGCCCCUCAAGCACUGACUUUUACACGAGGUUAGUAGAGUUUUGGAUAUUUUUGCAUCUCAGCCGCGGUUACAGGUAUUUGCAGUGUCUUUGCCAAUAUAAGAAGAAUGCCAAGCGGGUAGUAUACGAUACAGCAACAAAAUAAUGCACGGAUAGAAAAAAUAUGUAUUUAUUUUUGUAAACAAUAAUAUAGAAAAGAGCUUUCAAUUAUCAGGUGUAAAGGAAAUGUAAAGUUAUAUAUUAGGAAAUUCUUAUCUAUACACCACGUACUAUGUUGUCAUUUUUCAAAUCUAUUUCUCAAAGGCCAUUAACAUACCUUGUUUUGUUAACAGUAGUUUUAAGUACAGAGCCCAAGUUCCAGAACUAGGACAACGAGGAGCUGAUGGCUAUCGAAUAAAGUGGAGAAAAUAAUCACUACUCCAACUCAGCAAAACCCAUCUGGGCACCAUUACUGCCAAAGCAUACAGGAACCCAGAAGAAUGUAUGUUGAC